This is a non-coding RNA of Sus scrofa (pig), 638 nucleotides long. The record is from RefSeq and is a predicted model, not a curated record. Lineage: Eukaryota; Metazoa; Chordata; Mammalia; Artiodactyla; Suidae.
CUGAGCUCCCCGAUGGAGCUGGGUGGAUUCCACAACAGUAGUAGAGAUUAGCUACUAGCUAAUCUCUGUAAUCAUCCCUGGCUGGGUGGGGUUGCCAUCUGUUCUCCCUGGCCAGAUGAUUCUUCUAGCUAAAUUCUGUUUAGGGGAGGCUGCAGGCUAUGCUCUCUGGUGUAGCGGCACCACAGGCGGUGCUCUGUCAUCAGUUAAUGGCUUUGCUCCCUGGUCCAGCAGAGACGCUGGCUGUGCUCUGGGGUCAGGCAGGGUUACUGACUGGGUUCCAGGAUCAGGUAGGGCUGCAGCAUAUACCACACAGCUGGACUGAACCAUGAACUGAGGACCUCAGCCAGGCAGAAAUGGUGAGUGUGCUCUCUGGCCUGAGGACUGCUGACAUGACCUCACAGGUGGUACUUGAAAUCCAGAAUAAAUCAAUUUGAUGCUUGAGUGGAAGAUAAUGAAAACCAGGGCUCAGGCAUUCAAGGGGCUUAUGAUUGAAGAAAAGAGGGGCAGCCCGACCCAGAAAAUGUUUUGGUAACAUAAAAGGCUACUGCAGGAAGAAAUGCAGAAUGGGGGAAAUAUAUGAAAUAGCAUGUACGAAUGGAAAAUUAUGUUGUGUUAAUGAAGAGGAAAACAAAGCCUAC